GCCAGGUGUGGUGGCUCACACCUGUAAUCCCAGCACUUCGGAAGGCUGAGGCAGGUGGAUCACCUGAGGUCAGGAGUUCAAGACCUGCCUGACCAAUAUGGUGAAAUCCUGUCUCUA
Molecule: unclassified non-coding RNA, 117 nt
Organism: Pongo abelii (Sumatran orangutan)
Lineage: Eukaryota; Metazoa; Chordata; Mammalia; Primates; Hominidae
Rfam family: Metazoan signal recognition particle RNA
About the family: The signal recognition particle (SRP) is a universally conserved ribonucleoprotein.
Source: Ensembl